This is a long non-coding RNA of Ixodes scapularis (black-legged tick), 265 nucleotides long. RefSeq lists it as uncharacterized. The transcript is spliced from 3 exons. The record is from RefSeq and is a predicted model, not a curated record. NCBI's taxonomy places the organism in Eukaryota, Metazoa, Arthropoda, Arachnida, Ixodida, Ixodidae.
CUUGUUCGCCGGAGAGGAGACAAAGGCAUGUUUCUCGGAGUGCGUCGGUCGAUCUGAGUUUAGGAAGUCUGUAUCAUCAAGAAAAAACUGCAGGUGGCUGGAAGCUGUCGAUCAGCUGCCAGUCUGGAUAGUAGCCAUCAACUCAGCAAAGGGCUCCAGGCGAAUCAGCCCCACCCGUUUCUCUGCUGCCAUUCGAGACAGGAUGCUUUGUAAAAGUGGGAGCUCAUGAAGGUGGCACGGUGCAUGGAGGGACAGAGUGGCUGAC